CAGCCAGUGGCGGAGUGGUCAAACGCAUCUGCGUAUCAAGGAGACUGUCGCGGGUUUGAAUCCCAUCUGGAUGG
Operophtera brumata (winter moth) is the source of this 74-nucleotide transfer RNA. It matches the Rfam family "tRNA". From Rfam's summary of the family: Transfer RNA (tRNA) molecules are approximately 80 nucleotides in length. Their secondary structure includes four short double-helical elements and three loops (D, anti-codon, and T loops). Lineage: Eukaryota; Metazoa; Arthropoda; Insecta; Lepidoptera; Geometridae. The record is from Rfam.